Molecule: long non-coding RNA, 167 nt
Organism: Anopheles darlingi
Lineage: Eukaryota; Metazoa; Arthropoda; Insecta; Diptera; Culicidae
Exons: 3
Source: RefSeq, a predicted model, not a curated record
UAGGAACGCAGUCGGAUGUUUGAUCAGUGCCUGCUUUGUUAAAAAAAAUUUGCGUUUCACAUCUAUAUUGUGGUUGAGUGUACUCUUAGAAUCGAACUAGCAUAUUCAUUUGAAGCGGUUCUAGUGCCAGAAUCAACAUAAAUUGCGCAGCGAAAGAAUCACUUAGC